ACAGUGGACGCGAGCAUCUUUGUUGUAAGUAAUUAAGAGCGUACGGUGGAUGCCUUGGCACCAGGAGCCGAUGAAGGACGUAGGAGGCUGCGAUAAGCCUCGGGGAGCUGUCAACCGAGCUGAGAUCCGAGGAUGUCCGAAUGGGGAAACCCAGCCACAGUGAUGUGUGGUUACCCGCGCCUGAAUAUAUAGGGCGUGUGGAGGGAACGUGGGGAAGUGAAACAUCUCAGUACCCACAGGAAGAGAAAACAACAUGUGAUUCCGUGAGUAGUGGCGAGCGAAAGCGGAAGAGGCUAAACCAUGGGUGUGUGAUAGCCGGCGGGCGUUGCAUUCGUGGGGUUGUGGGAUCCGUCUUGUCAAUUCUGCCGGAUUGGCCGACAGUGAGAAAUCAUCGUGUUAGUCGAAGUGGUCUGGAACGGCCUGUCGUAGAGGGUGAGAGUCCCGUAGACGAAAACAUGGUGACUGUCGUGACGGACACCCGAGUAGCAGCGGGCCCGUGAAAUCUGCUGUGAAUCUGUCGGGACCACCCGAUAAGCCUGAAUACUCCCUGGUGACCGAUAGCGGACUAGUACCGUGAGGAAAGGUGAAAAGUACCCCGGGAGGGGAGUGAAAUAGUACCUGAAACCGUGCGCUUACAAUCCGUCAGAGCCUGCGCCACUUUGGUGGGUGGGUGAUGGCGUGCCUUUUGAAGAAUGAGCCUGCGAGUUAGCGGCAUGUCGCGAGGUUAACCCGUGUGGGGUAGCCGUAGCGAAAGCGAGUCCGAAUAGGGCGUUUGUAGUGGCAUGUUCUAGACCCGAAGCGGAGUGAUCUACCCAUGGCCAGGGUGAAGCGACGGUAAGACGUCGUGGAGGCCCGAACCCACUUAGGUUGAAAACUGAGGGGAUGAGCUGUGGGUAGGGGUGAAAGGCCAAUCAAACUCCGUGAUAGCUGGUUCUCCCCGAAAUGCAUUUAGGUGCAGCGUCGCGUGUUUCACUCUGGAGGUAGAGCUACUGGAUGGCCGAUGGGCCCCACAAGGUUACUGACGUCAGCCAAACUCCGAAUGCCAGAGUGUGAGAGCGCGGCAGUGAGACUGCGGGGGAUAAGCUUCGUAGUCGAGAGGGAACAGCCCAGAUCGCCGGCUAAGGCCCCUAAGCGUGUACUAAGUGGAAAAGGAUGUGGGGUCGCGAAGACAACCAGGAGGUUGGCUUAGAAGCAGCCACCCUUGAAAGAGUGCGUAAUAGCUCACUGGUCAAGUGAUCCUGCGCCGACAAUGUAGCGGGGCUCAAGUACACCGCCGAAGCCGCGGCAUUCACAUAACACCCAUGCGGGUCUACGGGCCUGUGUGCAGUGGUGUGGAUGGGUAGGGGAGCGUCGUGCAGCCAUGGAAGCGCCGGAGUGAUCCAGUUGUGGAGGCUGCACGAGUGAGAAUGCAGGCAUGAGUAGCGAAAGACGAGUGAGAAACUCGUCCGCCGAAUGACCAAGGGUUCCUGGGCCAGUUAAUCCGCCCAGGGUGAGUCGGGACCUAAGGCGAGGCCGACAGGCGUAGUCGAUGGACAACGGGUUGAUAUUCCCGUACCCGUGUGAACGCGCCCCUGGUGAAUCAGUGAUGCUAAGCGCCCUGAAGCCGCCUUCGAACCUUCGGGUUCUCGGUGUGUGGAUGCGCGUGAACCGAUCUGGUAGUAGCCAAGCGAUGGGGUGACGCAGGAAGGUAGCUGAGCCAGUCAGUGGUAAUACUGGUGUAAGCGUGUAGGGCGUGACCUAGGCAAAUCCGGGUCACACACAGCCUGAGACGUGAUGCGUAGCCGAUUGAGGCGAAUUCAGUGAUCCUAUGCUGCCGAGAAAAGCCUCUAGCGAGCUUUCACACGGCCCGUACCCCAAACCGACACAGGUGGUCAGGUAGAGAAACUAAGGCGAUCGAGAUAACUGUGGUUAAGGAACUCGGCAAAAUGCCCCCGUAACUUCGGGAGAAGGGGUGCCUCGUCUGGUGACGGAACUUGCUUCCUGG
Molecule: ribosomal RNA, 1984 nt
Filed under: Rhodococcus (subgen. Prescottella) equi
Lineage: Bacteria; Bacillati; Actinomycetota; Actinomycetes; Mycobacteriales; Nocardiaceae
Description: Rhodococcus hoagii partial 23S ribosomal RNA
Rfam family: Bacterial large subunit ribosomal RNA
Source: RNAcentral